CCUACGGGAGGCAGCAGUGGGGAAUAUUGGGCAAUGGGCGCAAGCCUGACCCAGCAACGCCGCGUGAAGGAAGAAGGCUUUCGGGUUGUAAACUUCUUUUCUCAGGGACGAAGCAAGUGACGGUACCUGAGGAAUAAGCCACGGCUAACUACGUGCCAGCAGCCGCGGUAAUACGUAGGUGGCAAGCGUUAUCCGGAUUUACUGGGUGUAAAGGGCGUGUAGGCGGGACUGCAAGUCAGAUGUGAAAACCACGGGCUCAACCUGUGGCCUGCAUUUGAAACUGUAGUUCUUGAGUACUGGAGAGGCAGACGGAAUUCCUGGUGUGGCGUGGAAAUGCGUAGAUAUUAGGAGGAACACCAGUGGCGAGGCGGUCUGCUGGACAGCAACUGACGCUGAGGCGCGAAAGCGUGGGGAGCAAACAGGAUUAGAUACCCUUGUAGUC
This 442-nucleotide ribosomal RNA is filed under the name uncultured bacterium. RNAcentral describes it as "partial 16S ribosomal RNA". It matches the Rfam family "Bacterial small subunit ribosomal RNA", at positions 338 to 795 of the family's 1533-position model. The record is from RNAcentral.